CGAGCCUGAUGCAGCCAUGCCGCGUGUAUGAAGAAGGCCUUCGGGUUGUAAAGUACUUUCAGUUGUGAGGAAGGGGGURGUGUUAAUAGCGCUAUCUCUUGACGUUAGCAACAGAAGAAGCACCGGCUAACUCCGUGCCAGCAGCCGCGGUAAUACGGAGGGUGCGAGCGUUAAUCGGAAUUACUGGGCGUAAAGCGCAUGCAGGUGGUUCAUUAAGUCAGAUGUGAAAGCCCGGGGCUCAACCUCGGAACUGCAUUUGAAACUGGUGAACUAGAGUACUGUAGAGGGGGGUAGAAUUUCAGGUGUAGCGGUGAAAUGCGUAGAGAUCUGAAGGAAUACCAGUGGCGAAGGCGGCCCCCUGGACAGAUACUGACACUCAGAUGCGAAAGCGUGGGGAGCAAACAGGAUUAGAUACCCUGGUAGUCCACGCCGUAAACGAUGUCUACUUGGAGGUUGUGGCCUUGAGCCGUGGCUUUCGGAGCUAACGCGUUAAGUAGACCGCCUGGGGAGUACGGUCGCAAGAUUAAAACUCA
Molecule: ribosomal RNA, 533 nt
Filed under: Vibrio sp.
Lineage: Bacteria; Pseudomonadati; Pseudomonadota; Gammaproteobacteria; Vibrionales; Vibrionaceae
Description: bacterial SSU rRNA
Rfam family: Bacterial small subunit ribosomal RNA
Source: RNAcentral